CAAUUUUCUACGACGUCUACUGUCAUUGAUAAUGGAUCACAGGGUAAUCCCUUUAAGCCACCAAAGACAGGAACAACUGGUUUCUUUGACUCCAUUGAAAGCUUUUGGAACCAUGUGUGGAAGACUUUUAUAGAUUUCAUCACUGGAAAAUCUUGCAG
Molecule: long non-coding RNA, 158 nt
Organism: Rosa chinensis
Lineage: Eukaryota; Viridiplantae; Streptophyta; Magnoliopsida; Rosales; Rosaceae
Exons: 2
Source: RefSeq, a predicted model, not a curated record